Cyprinus carpio (common carp) is the source of this 1757-nucleotide long non-coding RNA. RefSeq lists it as uncharacterized. The record is from RefSeq and is a predicted model, not a curated record. Lineage: Eukaryota; Metazoa; Chordata; Actinopteri; Cypriniformes; Cyprinidae. The transcript is spliced from 3 exons.
CCAGUGUGGUGUGAUAUUAUGGAUGCUAUUAGAGGUGUUAGGAUAGUUACAUAGAUUUGUGGGUGAACUAUUCCUCUAAUAUCUAGUCAUUUGGCCUCUCAAGUAAAUGUCUUGUGAUUUAAGAAUGUUUAGAUAUUUGUACUGGACAACAAGACAAAAAUACUGUGUAAGAAUUCAUUCUUUACAGUGUAUAAUUAUAAACCUGAGAAAUAUCCACUGCAUUUAAGUGUGACAACUAGCCCCGCUUUAUAUACUUUCCCACCACCAGAGAAGUACAUACAAAUUGGGACGAGCGCUUCAGAGAAUAUUAACCUGGAUAAUAAACUUCUCUUUGAAUUCCAUCAGGUUCCUGUGAGACACGUCGUUUUUUGAAGGCAGAUCUUUGAGGCACAAAGGACUGAACUAUGUAUGCUGAGAUCUGAAAACCCAUGCAGCACCACAGCAGAGAACGAGAACAUGCGGGUGGCCCGUUCCCCUCCCACCGACACAUCUGUACUGGGUCCCGCUGGUAGUUCUGGUGUGCCACGUUGCAGUGUACGAUGGGUUCUUGACCAGUCAUCUUAGGGGCAGCAAUAUGGCAAUCAGAUGUUUGAGCUGUAGAAGAUAGAGGCGGUGUUUGUUACACCAGGGAUCAUUCGCAUCUGAGUGCAGACAAUCAGGUUGUCAAGCCUUCAGUUUCAUGCUGAGUCUGUUAAUUGGCUCUCCAGUUCACACACAGUCUUCGUUCUUCUCUCCGAAGGUAAUGGAGAUGGUCUUCACAGAAAAGAAGAUACUGUAAUUGAGCUCAAUCACUCAUAGACAUCCAACGGUCAAUCAGUGGAGGCUUCUUUGGAGACCUGGAAUAUGUUGGCCUCAUCAAUACCAACUGUGGGAAGAGCUCAAUUCUCUGUGGUGUUUUAAGAUGCUGAUAAAAUGAUAAUGAUCCCGGGAAGAGACUGCCGCUAAUGCAAAAGAAAUGGAGGGAAUCAGUCAAGAACAGAUUACAUGCUGGAGGAGGAAUUGAGAAGGAGAUGAGAAAUGGAUGUGUGCUGGAAGUGGGAAAGGAAUGGCUUGGGGAGGAGGAAAAUCUCCGAAUGAUGAAUUCAUAUGUCAGAGGUAAGAUAGGUAACAGGUUACAGAAGAGAUUCGCUUUUCAAAACGCAGUACGCCACGAUCCGAUUUGUGCAGAUCGGGUGAAAUGUUUAAGCUCAUACACAAAACCACCAGUCACAGGAAGUGUGGAGUGAUUUGUGACUCUGUCUGGGAAAUAUGAGUUAAUUCGAGAGAGAUAAUAGCAGUUUACACCUCACUAGGCAUCAGCCAGUUCCCAAAUUGCUUCAUAAAUGGUAACAAAUGAACCCAUGAACUGCUAAAACAAUUCAGAGGUUUUUUCUGAAGUAUGUGGAGAUCUUCUAUAGCAUGUGGCAUAUAUCACUGUGUUGUCUUGGUAAUGACAUCAUAAUGACUCUCUUAAAGGAAUAGUUCUCCUCAUUUUAUUACAUAUGACUUUCUUUCUUUUAUUUUUUAUUUUUCUUUCUUUUUGGGACACAAAAUAAUCUCUCGCUUGCUCUUUUUCACACAAUGACAAAAAAAGUAUUCUUCUAUGAAUUGGGCAACAUAUUCCAAGUCUGCAGAGGACAUAUGAUGGUUUCGCGUGAAGAACAGGCCAAAGAUUAGGUUGUUCAGAACAUCCUUGUUUUGUUGCAAAUUUUGUCAUUCCAUGCCAUUAAUGGCAUUCUUUCUUUUGUGGAGUGCAAAAAGAGAUGCCACACAAAAUG